AACGAACGCUGGGGGCAUGCCUAACACAUGCAAGUCGAACGAGACCUUCGGGUCUAGUGGCGCACGGGUGCGUAACGCGUGGGAACCUGCCCUUAGGUUCGGAAUAACUCCCCGAAAGGGGUGCUAAUACCGGAUAAUGUCUUCGGACCAAAGAUUUAUCGCCUUUGGAUGGGCCCGCGUUGGAUUUGCUAGUUGGUAGGGUAAAAGCCUACCAAGGCGACGAUCCAUAGCUGGUCUGAGAGGAUGAUCAGCCACACUGGGACUGAGACACGACCCAGACUCCUACGGGAGGCAGCAGUGGGGAAUAUUGGACAAUGGGCGAAAGCCUGAUCCAGCAAUGCCGCGUGAGUGAUGAAGGCCUUAGGGUUGUAAAGCUCUUUUACCCGGGAUGAUAAUGACAGUACCGGGAGAAUAAGCUCCGGCUAACUCCGUG
Molecule: ribosomal RNA, 433 nt
Filed under: uncultured bacterium
Lineage: Bacteria
Description: partial 16S ribosomal RNA
Rfam family: Bacterial small subunit ribosomal RNA
Source: RNAcentral